Molecule: ribosomal RNA, 375 nt
Filed under: uncultured eukaryote
Lineage: Eukaryota
Description: partial 18S ribosomal RNA
Rfam family: Eukaryotic small subunit ribosomal RNA
Source: RNAcentral
CAAUAGCGUAUAUUUAAGUUGUUGCAGUUAAAAAGCUCGUAGUUGGAUUUCGGUUAAGAGCGACCGGUCCGCCGUUUGGUGUGCACUGGUUGGUUUUAACUUCCUGUAGAGGACGUGCUCUGGGUUUAACGACCUGGACUCGGAGUCUGCGUGGUUACUUUGAAAAAAUUAGAGUGUUCAAAGCGGGCUUACGCUUGAAUAUUUCGGCAUGGAAUAACACUAUAGGACUCCUGUCCUAUUUCGUUGGUCUCGGGACGGGAGUAAUGAUUAAGAGGAACAGUUGGGGGCAUUCGUAUUUCAUUGUCAGAGGUGAAAUUCUUGGAUUUAUGAAAGACGAACUUCUGCGAAAGCAUUUGCCAAGGAUGUUUUCAUUGA